RNAcentral lists this ribosomal RNA (494 nucleotides) under uncultured bacterium. RNAcentral's name for it is "partial 16S ribosomal RNA". It matches the Rfam family "Bacterial small subunit ribosomal RNA", at positions 29 to 507 of the family's 1533-position model. The record is from RNAcentral.
ACGAACGCUGGCGGCGUGCCUAAUACAUGCAAGUAGAACGCUGAAGGAGGAGCUUGCUUCUCUGGAUGAGUUGCGAACGGGUGAGUAACGCGUAGGUAACCUGCCUGGUAGCGGGGGAUAACUAUUGGAAACGAUAGCUAAUACCGCAUAACAGUAGAUAUCGCAUGAUAUCUACUUGAAAGGUGCAAUUGCAUCACUACCAGAUGGACCUGCGUUGUAUUAGCUAGUUGGUGAGGUAACGGCUCACCAAGGCGACGAUACAUAGCCGACCUGAGAGGGUGAUCGGCCACACUGGGACUGAGACACGGCCCAGACUCCUACGGGAGGCAGCAGUAGGGAAUCUUCGGCAAUGGACGGAAGUCUGACCGAGCAACGCCGCGUGAGUGAAGAAGGUUUUCGGAUCGUAAAGCUCUGUUGUAAGAGAAGAACGAGUGUGAGAGUGGAAAGUUCACACUGUGACGGUAUCUUACCAGAAAGGGACGGCUAACUACGUG